UGCGCCAACCCUUCUCCCCCAAUAACACAAGCUCCUUCUUCUUGAACACGCUUCUUUCUCCAUUGAAAAUCCAACUUCUCCUUCACGCCAUUUAGCCUUUCAAAAUCAGAUGAAACUUAUAACCCUUAAGUUUUUGAAAUUCAAAUCACACUUCUUUCACUACUGCAAUUGGGUAAAUACGAGAUCGGAAGAACACUCGGUGAAGGCAAUUUCGGCAAAGUUAAGUACGUUAAAGACAUCCAAACCGGACACCCGUUUGCCGUCAAGAUCCUCGAAAAAACCCGGAUCAAGAACCUUAAUUUCUCAAAUCAGAUAAAGAGGGAGAUUGCUAUAUUAAAGAUCUUGAAGCAUCCAAAUGUUGUUAGAUUACAUGAGACCCUCUUGAGACUGCAAGAAUUCCUAAAAUGGUUGACGAAGAAAGGUCAAACAAGAGCAAGUGAAUGGGUGUCAUUGUUUUUAAGAUACAACAAAGAGAGGAAGCUACCAACAAGCAUGAACGUGCCAUGUCGUAUGCCUUCUCUCACAAAGUAUAUAUCCUUUAAAGGUGGCAAGACAUGUAGGUUGAUUGGGCUAGGUAAUGGGUCAAACAUGUUUGGGUUAACACGAGUCACUUUUUAAGUCGGAUUGGAGCGGGUCCAUGUGUUGCUCUUUAUUCUUUUGGGUAUGAAAAAUUGUUUUCAAUUUGUUUUUUUUUUAAUCCAGAGACAUUUUAAAUGUAGUUAAUUGGGGUCAUCGUGCUGGUUUAAGUAGCUGUGUAUUUGCUAUUAAUGGAUCCGGUUGUGCUAUUGUUGUUGAGAAUCCUUUAAAGUUUAAUGGUUUUAUCUUAGUGGCAGCUGGUGGCGGGGGUAUUGCAGUUGGUGAUGCAGCUGGUGGUGGCACUGCACCCCAGUGGCUGCCGUUGCUGAAACAACGAAGGAAUUAAUGGUCGAAGAAAAAGAAGAGUCAUACACAUGAUGGGAAAAGUAGUCAUACAGUAGAGCGGUCUUUAUAUACCGACACUCCAUUUGCUGAGUUUUAUGAUGCUUGGGAAGGUCUAUAUCACCAUUUUCCCCAUGAGGAGAUUAGAGUUAUUGAUCAAGUUCUCUAAUGAAUGUAUGCAGGUAUGUACAGUACUGGAAAGUUUCUUCAAAGGUAGAUGUUUAUGCAUUUGGGGUUGCAUCUUAUGGGCUAAAACAAACCCGUGUAAAUUAUCCAUUUAUGUUUAUCAUUGUAAUUUUGUUAGCAAGUUUAAUAUAUUCAACAUAUGACAUUUCGUAUUUGUGUUGAUUAAUGAAAUAUGGUUAAAGCA
Long non-coding RNA from Helianthus annuus (common sunflower), 1288 nucleotides. RefSeq lists it as uncharacterized. The transcript is spliced from 5 exons. The record is from RefSeq and is a predicted model, not a curated record. NCBI's taxonomy places the organism in Eukaryota, Viridiplantae, Streptophyta, Magnoliopsida, Asterales, Asteraceae.